This 465-nucleotide ribosomal RNA is filed under the name uncultured bacterium. RNAcentral describes it as "partial 16S ribosomal RNA". It matches the Rfam family "Bacterial small subunit ribosomal RNA", at positions 338 to 795 of the family's 1533-position model. The record is from RNAcentral.
CCUACGGGAGGCAGCAGUGGGGAAUAUUGCGCAAUGGGCGAAAGCCUGACGCAGCGACGCCGCGUGAGGGAUGAAGGCCUUCGGAUCGUUAACCUCUGUCUGCAGGGAAGUACGGUCACUGUGCUAAUCAGCCGUGAAUUGACGGUACCUGCAAAGGAAGCACCGGCUAACUCCGUGCCAGCAGCCGCGGUAAUACGGAGGGUGCGUGCGUUAAUCGGUAUUACUGGGCGUAAAGCGCUCGUAGGCGGUAUGUCAAGUCAAGGGUGAAAUCUCCGCGCUCAACGUGGGAACUGCCUUUGAUACUGGAGAACUGGAGUGUGUACGAGGAUGGUGGAAUUCCAGGUGUAGGAGUGAAAUCCGUAGAUAUCUGGAGGAACAUCGGUGGCGAAGGCGACUAUCUGGCACAUAACUGACGCUGAGGAGCGAAAGCGUGGGUAGCAAACAGGAUUAGAUACCCCGGUAGUC